Molecule: ribosomal RNA, 1330 nt
Filed under: Salmonella enterica
Lineage: Bacteria; Pseudomonadati; Pseudomonadota; Gammaproteobacteria; Enterobacterales; Enterobacteriaceae
Description: partial 23S ribosomal RNA
Rfam family: Bacterial large subunit ribosomal RNA
Source: RNAcentral
GAGGGAAACCGAGUCUUAACCGGGCGUUAAGUUGCAGGGUAUAGACCCGAAACCCGGUGAUCUAGCCAUGGGCAGGUUGAAGGUUGGGUAACACUAACUGGAGGACCGAACCGACUAAUGUUGAAAAAUUAGCGGAUGACCUGUGGCUGGGGGUGAAAGGCCAAUCAAACCGGGAGAUAGCUGGUUCUCCCCGAAAGCUAUUUAGGUAGCGCCUCGUGAAUUCAUCUCCGGGGGUAGAGCACUGUUUCGGCUAGGGGGCCAUCCCGGCUUACCAACCCGAUGCAAACUGCGAAUACCGGAGAAUGUUAUCACGGGAGACACACGGCGGGUGCUAACGUCCGUCGUGAAGAGGGAAACAACCCAGACCGCCAGCUAAGGUCCCAAAGUCAUGGUUAAGUGGGAAACGAUGUGGGAAGGCCCAGACAGCCAGGAUGUUGGCUUAGAAGCAGCCAUCAUUUAAAGAAAGCGUAAUAGCUCACUGGUCGAGUCGGCCUGCGCGGAAGAUGUAACGGGGCUAAACCAUGCACCGAAGCUGCGGCAGCGAACGUAUCACCCAAGACAACUUUACGGAGUUGACGAUUGACGGAGCGAAGCGACGUCAAAGCGUUCAUUAAAGUCGAGUUGGCUUAGGGAUACGUUCGUUGGGUAGGGGAGCGUUCUGUAAGCCUGUGAAGGUGUGUCGUGAGGCAUGCUGGAGGUAUCAGAAGUGCGAAUGCUGACAUAAGUAACGAUAAAGCGGGUGAAAAGCCCGCUCGCCGGAAGACCAAGGGUUCCUGUCCAACGUUAAUCGGGGCAGGGUGAGUCGACCCCUAAGGCGAGGCCGAAAGGCGUAGUCGAUGGGAAACGGGUUAAUAUUCCCGUACUUGGUGUUACUGCGAAGGGGGGACGGAGAAGGCUAUGUUGGCCGGGCGACGGUUGUCCCGGUUUAAGCGUGUAGGUGUGUGUUCCAGGUAAAUCCGGUUCACUUUAACACUGAGGCGUGACGACGAGGCACUACGGUGCUGAAGCAACAAAUGCCCUGCUUCCAGGAAAAGCCUCUAAGCAUCAGGUAACACGAAAUCGUACCCCAAACCGACACAGGUGGUCAGGUAGAGAAUACCAAGGCGCUUGAGAGAACUCGGGUGAAGGAACUAGGCAAAAUGGUGCCGUAACUUCGGGAGAAGGCACGCUGACACGUAGGUGAAGUGAUUUACUCAUGGAGCUGAAGUCAGUCGAAGAUACCAGCUGGCUGCAACUGUUUAUUAAAAACACAGCACUGUGCAAACACGAAAGUGGACGUAUACGGUGUGACGCCUGCCCGGUGCCGGAAGGUUAAUUGAUGGGGUCAGCG